AUUAAACCGAAGGAGAAAAAAAAAGAAACAAAUCGUCCUCCUUUCCCAUUCACCACCGCCCCAAUUCCUCCCCCUCUUCCUCUCCCUCGUCUGCCGCCGCCGCCACUCACCGGACACAGCCGUCGCCGCCACCAGUGCCCUCCCCCACAGCCUGCACCCCAAUCCUUCUCUCCUCCAGUCACCUUAUCCCCACCACUAGUGAGCUCCUCCUCCCCCCACCCCGCUCGCCCCAGAUCGAGUAGUAGGUUCGGGUUCACGGCCAAGGCGGCGCGAGCGCUCCGAUGCUGGUUCAAGCAGCUUGAGGUGGGUGCUCCCUGCGGCUCUUACCCUUGUGCCGACGCCAUGGACAAGGAGAACAUAUACCUCUGUUAGUGUAGCAGCCCCAACCCUAGCCCUUCUUCGGCCAUGGCGACCUAGCAAGCAGGAGGAUCGAAUCCCUUUUCUUAUCCCCUUAUGUGAUGCGUGCCUCUGCUUGUAGAGGCGUGGAGAAUUUUUCAGUGCCAAGCAUGUAAUUAGAGAAUAAAUAUAGCGGCAAAUGAGAUUAUCGAGCUGUUAUACGAACCGAUUGUUACUCGGUUUCCGAUCAUUGCCAAGCAGAAGAAUGUCGAGCGUACCUGAAAGAAGGUAUCUGCAGUUUGAUAUUUGCAGCCCCAAGGUGCUCUGAAUUCCCUGAACUCAGUCGGAUGCGAGACCUUCUUGAAAAGAAGUAUGGGAAAGAUUUUGUUGUUGCUGCAGUUGAUCUGCACACAAAUGCUAGUGUCAAUACCUUGUAAGGCUAAUUGAGGAAGUUGUCAGUCAUCUCUGGACUACACUAUCAAGUUCCAAAGCGAAGAUUUUGCACAAACAGUACAAGUGUGUCUAUGAUUAUGAGCAGUAUCAGUACUUCAACUCGACAUGAUUUAAGAUGCUAAUCAUAUUCUAGAUAAAUUUUCCAGUGGAAGCUCACAAGAAUCUAUUCUUUGUCAAUGGAAGGUAGACAAUUUUCUCAAACCUGUUUGGAGACACCUGAAUUUACAAUUAAACUAUUCUAUGUUGCUUAUUAUUUCAUCUUCUAUCUACACGUUGCAAAAUUAUGUUGAGGAGCUUCACACAGAAUUGGUAUAUCCCAUAAUAAUUAAUUUGUAUUGCUCAAAGAAAGGCUCAGAGUUUUUUUCGCUAGCACGGAUGAGCAUCAGCUAAUGGUUCAUGUGAAUCAGGCUAAUGUAGCUUGACAACCGAAAGAACAACUAUGCCUUUUACAUGUUGAAGACGGGGUGUAACUUGUUCGACUAUAUUUUCUGCGUUCCCUGCAUCUGUUGCUUUGUAUCUUGACAGGGAAUCAAGAAUUGUCCCCACCUACAAAUUUAUCAAACAUGAUAGCAGUUAAGAACCCAAUAGCAAGAACUACAUCAUACUCUGUGCAUCCAUUCAGAGCAGUCAAAAGUUUUGUCGAUGUAUAUCUUUGUAAUCUCAAAGAUCAGAUGAGUACUGUUGCGUUGAAUCUCUGCAAGAGCAGCAACAACAUUUGCAACCACCAUAGCAUUAUUGUCAAAAAUUAAGUCUUUGAGGGCCUCCAGAAAUCCUCUGCCUCCAAUAGCUCAACAUUUAUAUCAUGUACUAAACUCUCCAGUUUAGUUUUCGCGGAUAUAAGAUAAUAUGGAGAUUAUGGGGUGUAAUUCUUCAGAUGUAGAAAUGUCACAUUUUGCUCAGCGUUCCGAGAGUACAAUAGAGGCCAAAACCAAGAUUUUGGAUUCUCAAACAUACAAUUUGCAUGUGAAUAAAUGUGUAAGUUUACAAUGCAUGGUUGUAUCACAAACUAUGGUUACAAGUUGCUCUCUAGGAACUCAUGAUGUGUUGUUUGCAUUAUUUGUCUGAUUUUCUGUUGUACUCUGUAAAAACUUGGAUGUUUCCAUGCAAUAUUUAUUACAAGAAAUUUACAGAUAA
Triticum dicoccoides is the source of this 1923-nucleotide long non-coding RNA. RefSeq lists it as uncharacterized. Lineage: Eukaryota; Viridiplantae; Streptophyta; Magnoliopsida; Poales; Poaceae. The record is from RefSeq and is a predicted model, not a curated record. The transcript is spliced from 6 exons.